GCAUAUCAAUAAGCGGAGGAAAAGAAAAUAACAAUGAUUCCCCUAGUAACUGCGAGUGAAGAGGGACAAGCUCAAAUUUUAAAUCUAUCGGGUUUUACCCGAUCGAGUUGUAAUUUGAAGAAGCGUUUUCUGCGUUUUUGGUCAGCUCAAGUCCUAUUGAAUGAGGCAUCAUGGAGGGUGAUAAUCCCGUCCGGUUGAUCAUUUGCGUUUUACGAUACGCUCUCUAAGAGUCAAGUUGUUUGGGAUUGCAGCUUAAAAUGGGAGGUAAAUUUCUCCUAAGGCUAAAUAACGGCGAGAGACCGAUAGCGAACAAGUACCGUGAGGGAAAGAUGAAAAGAACUUUGAAAAGAGAGUUAAACAGUACGUGAAAUUGUUGAAAGGGAAACGAUUGAAGCCAGUCGUACCUUCGGGUAAUCAGCCUUUCGGGUGCGAUUCUGUGGAGUGUGAGGAGCUUAACACCUUCAUGCUUUGCAUAUUUGUGCUCUUGGGUGUACUUGCCCGUGUGGUUGGUUAACAUCAAUUUUGAUUAUCAUAAAAUGACUGGAGGAAUGUAGCUUCGAUCUCGUAUUGAAGUGUUAUAGCCUUUGGUAGAUGUGAUGAUCGAGAUUGAGGAUUGCAACGGAUACCCUUCGGGGCUACCUGUCUGGUCUCUGAUCGUUGCUCUGGUGCCGAAAGCUUGCUUACGGUUAUCAAAGUCGAUGGUCAAUAGGUUAGAACGGGUUAAAUUCGUUAAGGAUGUUGACGUA
This 746-nucleotide ribosomal RNA is filed under the name uncultured Glomeromycotina. Its description in RNAcentral is "eukaryotic LSU rRNA". It matches the Rfam family "Eukaryotic large subunit ribosomal RNA", at positions 38 to 633 of the family's 3401-position model. Lineage: Eukaryota; Fungi; Glomeromycota. The record is from RNAcentral.